UACGGAGGGUGCAAGCGUUAUCCGGAUUCACUGGGUUUAAAGGGUGCGUAGGUGGGCAGGUAAGUCAGUGGUGAAAUCUUUGGGCUUAACCCGAAAACUGCCAUUGAUACUAUUUGUCUUGAAUAUUGUGGAGGUCAGCGGAAUAUGUCAUGUAGCGGUGAAAUGCUUAGAUAUGACAUAGAACACCAAUUGCGAAGGCAGCUGGCUACACAUAUAUUGACACUGAUGCACGAAAGCGUGGGGAUCAAACAGG
This 253-nucleotide ribosomal RNA is filed under the name uncultured bacterium. RNAcentral's name for it is "partial 16S ribosomal RNA". It matches the Rfam family "Bacterial small subunit ribosomal RNA", at positions 524 to 776 of the family's 1533-position model. The record is from RNAcentral.